GACGAACGCUGGCGGCGUGCUUAACACAUGCAAGUCGAACGGAAAGGCCCUGCUUUUGUGGGGUGCUCGAGUGGCGAACGGGUGAGUAACACGUGAGUAACCUGCCCUUGACUUUGGGAUAACUUCAGGAAACUGGGGCUAAUACCGGAUAGGAUCUCCUGCUGCAUGGUGGGGGUUGGAAAGUUUCGGCGGUUGGGGAUGGACUCGCGGCUUAUCAGCUUGUUGGUGGGGUAGUGGCUUACCAAGGCUUUGACGGGUAGCCGGCCUGAGAGGGUGACCGGCCACAUUGGGACUGAGAUACGGACCAGACUCCUACGGGAGGCAGCAGUGGGGAAUAUUGCACAAUGGGCGGAAGCCUGAUGCAGCAACGCCGCGUGCGGGAUGACGGCCUUCGGGUUGUAAACCGCUUUAGCCUGUGACGAAGCGUGAGUGACGGUAAUGGGUAAAGAAGCACCGACUAACUACGUG
Molecule: ribosomal RNA, 468 nt
Filed under: uncultured bacterium
Lineage: Bacteria
Description: partial 16S ribosomal RNA
Rfam family: Bacterial small subunit ribosomal RNA
Source: RNAcentral